GGUCAUAUAGCUCAGUUGGAUAGAGCACAAGCCUUCUAAGCUUGGGGUCGUAGGUUCGAAUCCUACUAUGAUCG
Stegodyphus dumicola is the source of this 74-nucleotide non-coding RNA. NCBI's taxonomy places the organism in Eukaryota, Metazoa, Arthropoda, Arachnida, Araneae, Eresidae. The record is from the annotation of a RefSeq genome assembly.